Molecule: ribosomal RNA, 301 nt
Filed under: Paenibacillus pabuli
Lineage: Bacteria; Bacillati; Bacillota; Bacilli; Caryophanales; Paenibacillaceae
Description: partial 16S ribosomal RNA
Rfam family: Bacterial small subunit ribosomal RNA
Source: RNAcentral
CUUUAUUGGAGAGUUUGAUCCUGGCUCAGGACGAACGCUGGCGGCAUGCCUAAUACAUGCAAGUCGAGCGGACUUGAUGAGAAGCUUGCUUCUCUGAUAGUUAGCGGCGGACGGGUGAGUAACACGUAGGCAACCUGCCCUCAAGCUUGGGACAACUACCGGAAACGGUAGCUAAUACCGAAUAGUUGUUUUCUUCUCCUGAAGAGAACUGGAAAGACGGAGCAAUCUGUCACUUGGGGAUGGGCCUGCGGCGCAUUAGCUAGUUGGUGGGGUAACGGCUCACCAAGGCGACGAUGCGUAG